Long non-coding RNA from Canis lupus familiaris (dog), 684 nucleotides. RefSeq lists it as uncharacterized. NCBI's taxonomy places the organism in Eukaryota, Metazoa, Chordata, Mammalia, Carnivora, Canidae. The record is from RefSeq and is a predicted model, not a curated record. The transcript is spliced from 3 exons.
GAGUUUUCCAACACCCAGCAUUCUCUGAGGCAGCGAGGCCGGAUACACAAAUGUCAGGGGAGAAGCAGAAAAUACCAGAAAAUCUGAAAUACAACCUAUACAUUCAUCAGUUACUUAAUCACUAAUAAAGAGAUUACAGAAAGAAAAGAAGGUCAACAGCGAAACAUUGGUUCAACCUUACCCUAAAAUUUGAAAAAUGAAGAGAACAAGCAACAGAGUUAAAGAAUUCACAAAGGCAGGAAGAGAAAAUCAGAACUGAAGAAAAUGGCUGAAAACAACUUUAAAGUUACGUGAAUUCAGCUGGAGAACUUCUGAAUAAAGAAAGAAACUGUAGUUCCCAGUGCCUUUGUGGAUGGAUCUUUGUGGAAACCCUUGGGAUUCACUUGUGUUGGGGUUUGUGUCCAUUUCUGGGUUAACUACUCUGACCAGAAUAGUGGAUGUCUGGCUGCUUGCUAGGUAUGUGUCACAUGCCUACCUGUAUGUUGGGCAGGAGCAGGAAAACUAAUGAGUAACCACAUAAACUAGUACCUAUUAACAGCGAAGAGACAAGCUUCAAAGCAAAAGGAGUACUGUGGCCAGAAGAAUGGAAAGAGGAACAGUGUGCAGAUAAAAAGAGAAGCUAAGUCAACUUUCUGACGAGAUUCCAAUAAAUACUGAUGGGCCCCAACUUACAAUGGUUCAACC